This is a non-coding RNA of Pelobates cultripes (western spadefoot toad), 352 nucleotides long. The record is from the annotation of a GenBank genome assembly. NCBI's taxonomy places the organism in Eukaryota, Metazoa, Chordata, Amphibia, Anura, Pelobatidae.
UGUAGGUGGAAGCAGCGGUGGAGGAGGAGGAUGAGGUAGCCAACACUGUUUUUUAUGUUUUUUUUAUUUUUUAAUUGUGGUAGCCCACAAAAUAUUGGGACAUAUAAAAAAGACAAAUCUGUUCCGCAGAGUAGCUGUUGACAUUAUAGUUGUGCAGGCACUUUGUUGACUCUAGAGAACCUCGAGCCAAUCGCACAUCCCCGUGACGGCGACUUUGCAUUUGGAUGUCAUCCAUAUCAACUUUCGAUGCCAGUUUCUGUGCCUACCAUGGUGACCACAGGUAAUGGGGAAUCAGGGUUCCAUUCCGUACAGGGACCCUGAGAAACGGCUACCACAUGCAAGGAAGGCAGCA